AUGGGCGCCGAGCAAAAGCAUUCAACCUUUUGGAUUCGUGUUCACCGAGAGUUUCAUGAGCGCAAGAAGUUUCCGCCUUACCAAUUUGUGAGCACGCGCGGGUGGGUCUCCAUUUUCAAGCGGUGGAGGGUGAUCCAACAAGAGUGCAACAAGUUUUGCGCUACUCUUGAGAGCGUCAAGGCCCGCCCCGUGAGCGGCAUCGGCAUGCAAAACAUGGCAUUUCAAGCUUUGGAGGCAUUCAAGGUUCAACACAAUGGCAAGUGCUUCAACCUCUCCCAUUGCUAUCGGGUCAUCAAG
Molecule: ribosomal RNA, 297 nt
Filed under: Triticum aestivum (bread wheat)
Lineage: Eukaryota; Viridiplantae; Streptophyta; Magnoliopsida; Poales; Poaceae
Description: partial small subunit ribosomal RNA
Source: RNAcentral